GUGGGGAAUAUUGGGCAAUGGGGGAAACCCUGACCCAGCAACGCCGCGUGAAGGAAGAAGGCCCUCGGGUUGUAAACUUCUUUUACCAGGGACGAAGGACGUGACGGUACCUGGAGAAAAAGCAACGGCUAACUACGUGCCAGCAGCCGCGGUAAUACGUAGGUUGCAAGCGUUGUCCGGAUUUACUGGGUGUAAAGGGCGUGUAGGCGGAGCUGCAAGUCAGAUGUGAAAUCCCGGGUCUCAACCCCGGAACUGCAUUUGAAACUGUAGCCCUUGAGUAUCGGAGAGGCAAGCGGAAUUCCUAGUGUAGCGGUGAAAUGCGUAGAUAUUAGGAGGAACACCAGUGGCGAAGGCGGCUUACUGGACGAUUACUGACGCUGAGGCUCGAAAGCGUGGGGAGCAAACAGGAUUAGAUACCCCAGUAGUCC
RNAcentral lists this ribosomal RNA (428 nucleotides) under uncultured bacterium. RNAcentral describes it as "bacterial SSU rRNA". It matches the Rfam family "Bacterial small subunit ribosomal RNA", at positions 354 to 796 of the family's 1533-position model. The record is from RNAcentral.